GUGAACACGUGCUGCUUCAACUUGCACAUGUGCUUUGGUGCUAGAGGAUUGAAGAGUAGAAAAUAUCGUCUUUCUUUAAAAUGCCUAAAGCAAAGAAGAAGACACAAAUAGAUGCUACAAAGAAUGAUACAAAGACUGAUCCAAAUGUUCUUGAUAGUCAAGAAUGCUUGACCCCAAGUUGCAGCAGCGCCAGUAGUCUUGGAUCAGGAUCAGUCUCCAAAGUGGAGUUCCUUGAAGCCAAGAUCCAAUGGCAAGAGAAAAUGAUUAAGGAACUUGAGCAAGAACGCAAUUUCUUACGUGAGCAAAUCAUGGGAGGGAA
Molecule: non-coding RNA, 319 nt
Organism: Paramisgurnus dabryanus
Lineage: Eukaryota; Metazoa; Chordata; Actinopteri; Cypriniformes; Cobitidae
Source: RefSeq, a predicted model, not a curated record